GUUUGAACGAGUUUCCUUUACUAUCUGGAUGGGAGGGGAAUUACAAUAACGGGGUAAGAACGCGUUGUUCCUGAAUCCUUUUCAUCAGUCUAUUCAGAUGAAAAGGAUGGAGGAAAACUAUAUAAUCUGUAUAAUGAAAUUAGCAUCUCUCUACCUAGAAGAACUAAUAUCCAUUGUCACAUUGGAAUCUUGUCUUGAUUUUGUGCAACGUACACGACAAAAGGUUGUUGAUGGAU
RNAcentral lists this unclassified non-coding RNA (236 nucleotides) under Hevea brasiliensis (rubber tree). Lineage: Eukaryota; Viridiplantae; Streptophyta; Magnoliopsida; Malpighiales; Euphorbiaceae. The record is from RNAcentral.